This is a non-coding RNA of Oryza glaberrima (African rice), 186 nucleotides long. The record is from Rfam. NCBI's taxonomy places the organism in Eukaryota, Viridiplantae, Streptophyta, Magnoliopsida, Poales, Poaceae.
UAUAAGUGCAGUUGUGGUUUUCCGUGUCCAACGUUUAACCAUCCGUCUUAUUUAAAAAAAUAUAUAAUUAGUAUUUUUAUCGUUAUUAGAUAAUAAAACAUAAAUUAUUUUUAAUUUUUUUAAUAAAAUUUUUAAAUAAGACGGACAGUCAAAAGUUGAACACAAAAAUCUAUAACCGCAUUUAUA